This 291-nucleotide long non-coding RNA is filed under the name Eutrema salsugineum. RNAcentral describes it as "long non-coding RNA (ESAL_LNC000829)". The record is from RNAcentral. Lineage: Eukaryota; Viridiplantae; Streptophyta; Magnoliopsida; Brassicales; Brassicaceae.
UUUCGACAAUGACUUUCAAGAACGGUGCAACUUUCUCGAUUCCCUCAAUGGUAGCAAGAGAUUGUACAAAAGCGAUAGGGAUGAUGAAAAAGAAGGUGAGGAAGAAGAAGGCUACAUUCAUAGCCAAUCUUCUUACAGUCAAAGAAACGUAUGGCAUUGCAAGGUUUGGCCAGAACACAUCUCGUGGCUCUGGGGCCCAUUCGGUUAGCCAUUCGGUCGGGUUUCGUGUCUGUGUGGUCUGAGCGCAAACUGCAGCAGCCCAACGGGUCUUGAAGGAGACAAAAGAUGCUG